UUCACAGCAUUUUCUAAUAAAUCAUUUGCAAGUAUCCUUUUGACAUUUGGCAACUCCUUAGCAUACCGAAUGGAACGCAAUCCAGUAGCGGAAAGUGCUUCUAAAAUGGUAAAUCCAGCAAUAUUAUCAGCUGAAGUAGAAUCUGUCUUUUCCGAACAGUUUUUUUCAAAAUCAUGAGUUGUAUCACAUUUAGUAAGAUUUUCUUGGCUAAGUUCGGAGUUUUGAUCGAGAAGCUGAUGCCGGUGAUGAGAUUUUGCAACAAUUUUUUUGGAUCUAGUUUCCGACCAAGCACGAAUAGCUGUAACGCUUAAAUCUCUAUUAAAUUGUUGUACGGGGUUAUAAAAGACUUCAUUCGGAUUUGAAAAUGGUAUAAUUGCACUACCCUCGGUCAAACUUGCAGAAGCCCCCGACAUCAUGGCGGUUGAGAAGUGAUUCACAGCAUUUGAGAUCCUUUGACUUAAUCUUAGCAUAUUGGCUUCAUACAUUUAAUACGAA
Molecule: non-coding RNA, 495 nt
Organism: Schizosaccharomyces pombe (fission yeast)
Lineage: Eukaryota; Fungi; Ascomycota; Schizosaccharomycetes; Schizosaccharomycetales; Schizosaccharomycetaceae
Source: the annotation of a GenBank genome assembly